UGUCCUACGGGGGGCAGCAGUGGGGGAUAUUGCACAAUGGAGGAAACUCUGAUGCAGCGACGCCGCGUGAGGGAAGACGGUCUUCGGAUUGUAAACCUCUGUCUUUGGGGAAGAAAAUGACGGUACCCAAAGAGGAAGCUCCGGCUAACUACGUGCCAGCAGCCGCGGUAAUACGUAGGGGGCGAGCGUUGUCCGGAAUCACUGGGCGUAAAGGGCGCGUAGGCGGUUUAAUAAGUCAGUGGUGAAAACUGAGGGCUCAACCCUCAGCCUGCCACUGAUACUGUUAGACUUGAGUAUGGAAGAGG
This 305-nucleotide ribosomal RNA is filed under the name uncultured bacterium. RNAcentral's name for it is "bacterial SSU rRNA". It matches the Rfam family "Bacterial small subunit ribosomal RNA", at positions 335 to 657 of the family's 1533-position model. The record is from RNAcentral.